Non-coding RNA from Solanum lycopersicum (tomato), 2744 nucleotides. NCBI's taxonomy places the organism in Eukaryota, Viridiplantae, Streptophyta, Magnoliopsida, Solanales, Solanaceae. The record is from RefSeq and is a predicted model, not a curated record.
CCAAAAAUAUUAUAUUCCUUUCCACAUCUUUAACUUUCCUUCCCAUUUUUAUUGAGCAAAAAAAGUAUUUCAUAGAACAUUAAAUUUUAUUUCCCCCCUAAUCAGAAGUGAAGAACGGAUGGAGCUCCAGAGCUUUUCUGUCGGUCAAACUUUCUCAAAAAAGAAUAAGCAAAAAUCAGUGAAUGUUUAUCAGGGUAGCUGCUGUGGUUUAGCCAAUGUUGUUGGAAUAGGGUCCUUCAUCACACUAUUCAAGUGCCCAUGGAGGGUAGCUGCUGUGGUUUAGCCAAAGUUAAUAAGCAAUUGAACCUGCAGGGCUAAUGAGUUCUAAAGAAAAGAAUGAUGACUCCUUCUCAACAAAAAGGCCUGCUGAGAUGAAACUUAGACGACCUGAUUUGGAUAGACUGGUUUCUGCAGAAAAAAGAGAAGCACAAUGACUACAACUUCGAACAAACAGUCAGGAGCUAAAAAGAAAUUCUAUAGUUGCAAUAGCAGCUUUUCAUGUGCAAGAUCGUCAUGCUGAAAGUAUACAAUGCUGCUGGUCCACCUCUUAGAAUCCUCAUCAAAUUUCUACUUUUCCACAGCAAAAGGUGACGUCUAUAAACUUUUCUUGUUAACUUGGAAUUUAUACAUUUGGUCAGGCUAGUAUUAUUAUCAACAUGGAAGUGACUAAGGAAAUACAUACAGUAUACCUUUGACUAGACUAUAGCAGAAAAGUCAACAGAGAAGGGUGUUACUACUUAAAUGAAGGACUUAUAAAAUGUUGAAUAAUAGCGUAUUGGAGUAGUUGAUACAUGUGUCCAUAUAGUUUGCAUAUAUGUUCCUGCCUAGAUUGGAGGUUACUUACUUUGUAUUGAAUAUAUGCUAAGGAAAGACAUUGUGAGUACUUCAAACAUCAACUCUUUGAUUUAUUUAACUGCUAAUGGAUGAGUUUAAUGUCAUGGAUAUUAAUGUGUAAAGAAAGCCAUCAUCUAUGGAGACCGAGACAUCCAAAUCCAUCGAAUGUAACUUCUUUUGAGUACAAUCCUUCAUUUUUACACUUUUGGAUAAACUGUAUUUUAACAAGCUUGACCGUUAUUCUAAGUUUUGCAGAAUCUUCACUUUUCUUGACGUAUCCAUAUCGGAUUCUCAAAAAAUUGACUACUUUAGGAGAAUCCGACACCCAUCCAUUGAAAGUUUUGAAGAGUCCGAGCAACAUAGCCGUUACCUACCACUGUCUUCUCAUUGAUCAUCUGUAUUGGAAGAUAUAGUAUGUUCAGCAACACACUUAGCUUCAAAUUACAGUGUUAUAUGGAAGCUUAAUUUAUACCAUGUAUGAAAAUAUACAAUUUUAGCUAUUCUAAGACAACAAACCAACUCUUUGUUUUGCCCUUGAAAUCAUUAUCAUAUUUCUGCAGACAAACAGUUCUGUUUCAUAGGGAAUCAUGUUUUGCCGUACAAUCUCAACCUUUUGCUAUACCUCCUGUAUAUUGGAUCCUUUUAUGUCUUAUCAAAAAAGAAAAAGAUAAUGAACUAGGAGUAUGAUCUGUGUUGACUGUGUUCUGUGUUUUAGUUCCCUGUCUGACCGAUGUAUUUCAUCAUUUAUUGUGUAACUUUGCAUUUCCAACUGAAUCUGUAAUAAGAACUCCUGAUUAGGCCCAUAUUAUAUUUGAUAUAUGUUUCCUUCUUUGGACUGAUUAGCAAAGAGUACCCGGUUUUGUUUUAAGUUAGUUUUAUUUUUACCUUUGGACUGCACGACAAAAUUGUUAGAAUAACAAAUAUUGUUGUCUUUAAGGUGUUAGCGAAAUGUCUCAUUGUAAAUGAGGUAAGUUCCUUUUUUGCUUGAAGUAGCUUGGAAAUAUGUAGUAGACCUAGUACGUCAAGAGUUAAAACUCCAGACAAUAGUCCCAGAAAUAGUCCUAGAAUUAGUCCCAGAUGGACCCCACCAACUUAUUAUACAGAAAGUUAUCAGCAAUCAGAUAGAACUAACGCAAUAUGGAAUAGUAAACGACAAAAUACAAUAUUAUUACAAUAAUACUAUUAUUACAUAAAGUAUCUUAUUUUUGCAAGUUAUCUUAUUCUAGUUGUACCUCAGGGAUUAUGUCAUCACCUUGGUUACAUUUAGAACAUAUAUGGUCUGGAUAUUUGUGACCAAUUAACUUGCAAUAUCUUAUUUUUAUUUUAUCGAUUUUAUUUCUUGCUGUAAGAGUGAAAGAGAGAUGUAUUUGAAAGGGAUGAUUUUAUUAUGAGGGAGAACCCUCUAUUUAUACAAGAAAACUUGACAUCCUUUGGCCAAAUGACCGACACUCCUACUUUACACCUGACCUUUUUAUAUUCGGCCGACAUAAGAAAACAAAAGACCUACUAUUACUUCUUUACAUAAUGGCCUCUUCUUAUAUUUGUGGCCGACACAAAAUCUACAGCUUCAAUUCUUACGUGCAAGACAACCGAAUCAUAUCACAUCAUCAAACUGAAUAAGCAGCAUCAGCAUCAAUGCGGUAAGGGCUGGACAUUUACUUUUUGUGAAUCACAGUUAAGACCCUCAAGCUGAUUGUCGUGUUCAGAGGAAUCAGUACCAUGUUUGUUACAGGCAUAUUUGGCUUUAACUUUGUUACCAAAUUGAAUUCUUUUCUAAAAAAAUAUAAAAGUAUAGGACAAAACAUUUAUUUUCUCAUUUUCAAAGCAGGUACUGUUUUUAGUUUGAGCAUACCCUCGAUGAAAUUACUCGUUCUUAGAAAAUGCGUCAAUUCCAUGUUAUUUUAUUUUAU